This 288-nucleotide ribosomal RNA is filed under the name Pseudomonas sp. FC10. Its description in RNAcentral is "partial 16S ribosomal RNA". It matches the Rfam family "Bacterial small subunit ribosomal RNA", at positions 46 to 334 of the family's 1533-position model. The record is from RNAcentral. Lineage: Bacteria; Pseudomonadati; Pseudomonadota; Gammaproteobacteria; Pseudomonadales; Pseudomonadaceae. RNAcentral also lists the same sequence under 1 other name.
AGGCCUAACACAUGCAAGUCGAGCGGUAGAGAGAAGCUUGCUUCUCUUGAGAGCGGCGGACGGGUGAGUAAUGCCUAGGAAUCUGCCUGGUAGUGGGGGAUAACGUUCGGAAACGGACGCUAAUACCGCAUACGUCCUACGGGAGAAAGCAGGGGACCUUCGGGCCUUGCGCUAUCAGAUGAGCCUAGGUCGGAUUAGCUAGUUGGUGAGGUAAUGGCUCACCAAGGCGACGAUCCGUAACUGGUCUGAGAGGAUGAUCAGUCACACUGGAACUGAGACACGGUCCAG